This is a non-coding RNA of Alligator sinensis (Chinese alligator), 342 nucleotides long. NCBI's taxonomy places the organism in Eukaryota, Metazoa, Chordata, Crocodylia, Alligatoridae. The record is from the annotation of a RefSeq genome assembly.
AGGCGGUGCGGGGCGAUACGGUCCAUCCCGAAAAACCUCAGGUGACUGCAGCAGAAGGAGAUGUCGUGACACUCCGCUGUAACUACAAAACCAGCAGUAGUCUUGGUUACUAUCUGUACUGGUACCGCCAGCACACGAACCAAACGCUGCAGUACAUCCUGCGGAGGGGAACGAAGGACUACAGCGCUGCCAGUGAUAACGCACCUUUUGCCGAGGACAGGUUUUCGUCCCAGGUCAGUGACAGCGCCACCGCUUUAAACAUCAGCGUCCUGGAGCUGGCAGACACCGCGGUGUAUCACUGCGCCCUGCAGAGGCACGGCGAGACACUCACACGGGAGGGCG